AUCCCCUCGGGUUUUGGACCCGGUCGGACUUGGACUUGGGUGUCUGCCAUCUGAUGGCUCACCUUAAAAGACUUAGUGGGAUAAGUGCCCAUGGCUAAGACGUAAUAAGUUUUGUCUGGCUUGGUGUGACCGCCUGCUCAUAACAAACCAUAUCUUUUGACUCUGACCUCAAGUCAGGUAGGGCUACCCGCUGAACUUAA
This 200-nucleotide unclassified non-coding RNA is filed under the name soil metagenome. RNAcentral's name for it is "partial contains internal transcribed spacer 2 and large subunit ribosomal RNA". The record is from RNAcentral.